UACGUAGGGUGCAAGCGUUGUCCGGAAGUUAUUGGGCGUAAAGAGCUCGUAGGCGGUUCGUCACGUUCGGUCUCGUGAAAACCUGAGGGCUCAACCUCAGGCCUGCAGUCGAUACGGGCGGACUUGAGUGACUGCAGGGGAGACUGGAAGUUCCUGGUGUAGUGCGGUGAAAUGCGCAGAUAUCAGGAGGAACACCGGUGGCGAAGGCGGAUUCUCUGGGGCAUGGUCCUGACCGCUGAGGAGCGAAAGCGUGGGGAGCGAACAGG
RNAcentral lists this ribosomal RNA (266 nucleotides) under uncultured bacterium. Its description in RNAcentral is "partial 16S ribosomal RNA". It matches the Rfam family "Bacterial small subunit ribosomal RNA", at positions 524 to 776 of the family's 1533-position model. The record is from RNAcentral.